UACGAAGGGGGCUAGCGUUGCUCGGAAUCACUGGGCGUAAAGGGCGCGUAGGUGGUGGCUUAAGCGUGCGGUGAAAGCUCGGGGCUUAACUCCGAGUCGGCCGUGCGAACUGGGCUCACUGGAGCAUAGUAGAGGCAGGUGGAAUUCCGGGUGUAGCGGUGGAAUGCGUAGAGAUCCGGAGGAAGACCGGUGGCGAAGGCGGCCUGCUGGGCAGUUACUGACACUGAGGCGCGACAGCGUGGGGAGCAAACAGG
Molecule: ribosomal RNA, 254 nt
Filed under: uncultured bacterium
Lineage: Bacteria
Description: partial 16S ribosomal RNA
Rfam family: Bacterial small subunit ribosomal RNA
Source: RNAcentral